RNAcentral lists this ribosomal RNA (253 nucleotides) under uncultured bacterium. RNAcentral describes it as "partial 16S ribosomal RNA". It matches the Rfam family "Bacterial small subunit ribosomal RNA", at positions 524 to 776 of the family's 1533-position model. The record is from RNAcentral.
UACGUAGGGUGCGAGCGUUAAUCGGAAUUACUGGGCGUAAAGCGUGCGCAGGCGGCUUUGCAAGACAGAUGUGAAAUCCCCGGGCUCAACCUGGGAAUGGCAUUGGAAACUGGCUCGCUGGAGUGUGGCAGAGGGGGGUGGAAUUCCGCGUGUAGCAGUGAAAUGCGUAGAGAUGCGGAGGAACACCGAUGGCGAAGGCAGCCCCCUGGGCCAACACUGACGCUCAGGCACGAAAGCGUGGGGAGCAAACAGG